RNAcentral lists this ribosomal RNA (433 nucleotides) under uncultured bacterium. RNAcentral's name for it is "partial 16S ribosomal RNA". It matches the Rfam family "Bacterial small subunit ribosomal RNA", at positions 29 to 507 of the family's 1533-position model. The record is from RNAcentral.
AGCGAACGCUGGCGGCAGGCCUAACACAUGCAAGUCGAACGAACUCUUCGGAGUUAGUGGCGGACGGGUGAGUAACACGUGGGAACGUGCCCUUUGGUUCGGAAUAACUCAGGGAAGCUUGUGCUAAUACCGCAUGUGCUCUUCGGGGGUAAGAUUUAUCGCUAUUUGAUCGGCCCGCGUCUGAUUAGCUAGUUGGUGAGGUAACGGCUCACCAAGGCGACGAUCAGUAGCUGGUCUGAGAGGAUGACCAGCCACACUGGGACUGAGACACGGCCCAGACUCCUACGGGAGGCAGCAGUGGGGAAUCUUGCGCAAUGGGCGAAAGCCUGACGCAGCCAUGCCGGGUGAAUGAGGAAGGUCUUAGGAUUGUAAAAUUCUUUCACCGGGGACGAUAAUGACGGUACCCGGAGAAGAAGCCCCGGCUAACUUCGUG